CCUUAACANUCGCAUGGUGCGGCUGACAUUUGCCAAGAUAAGGAGAUUUACAUG
This 54-nucleotide non-coding RNA is filed under the name unclassified sequences. The record is from Rfam.